Molecule: long non-coding RNA, 253 nt
Filed under: Setaria italica (foxtail millet)
Lineage: Eukaryota; Viridiplantae; Streptophyta; Magnoliopsida; Poales; Poaceae
Description: long non-coding RNA (SITA_LNC001348)
Source: RNAcentral
AUCCUACGGGUUGCCACCCAAGACAUUGAUAUCUGGUGCUAUAGAUUUAAUCAUUCAAGUACGCUGCCAGCGAAAGGUACUUGGAUGUCUAGCCCGGCAAAUUUUUUUGGCUCAUUUUCCUUUAUGACAAUUGGACCUUUACAACACCCCUCCUCCCACCUACUCAUUUUCAUUUUGUUUCACUUGAAAAGAAGUGUAAAUCAUAGACUACCCUUAAGAAGAAGGUUUGUUUUCUCUAAAAUUUAUAUGAAAU